RNAcentral lists this ribosomal RNA (446 nucleotides) under uncultured bacterium. Its description in RNAcentral is "bacterial SSU rRNA". It matches the Rfam family "Bacterial small subunit ribosomal RNA", at positions 354 to 796 of the family's 1533-position model. The record is from RNAcentral.
GUAGGGAAUAUUGGACAAUGGGCGCAAGCCUGAUCCAGCCAUCCCGCGUGAAGGAUUAAGGUCCUAUGGAUUGUAAACUUCUUUUCUCUGGGAAUAAAAACCGGGAUUCAUUCCUGGCUUGAAGGUACCAGAGGAAUAAGCACCGGCUAACUCCGUGCCAGCAGCCGCGGUAAUACGGAGGGUGCAAGCGUUAUCCGGAUUCACUGGGUUUAAAGGGUGCGUAGGUGGCUUUAUAAGUCAGUGGUGAAAGCCCGGAGCUUAACUCCGGAACUGCCAUUGAUACUGUUUAGCUUGAAUCAAGUAGAGGUGGAUGGAAUAUUACAUGUAGCGGUGAAAUGCUUAGAGAUGUAAUAGAACACCAAUUGCGAAGGCAGUUCACUAUGCUUGCAUUGACACUGAGGCACGAAAGCGUGGGGAUCAAACAGGAUUAGAUACCCGAGUAGUCC